This 72-nucleotide transfer RNA is filed under the name candidate division Zixibacteria bacterium RBG-1. It matches the Rfam family "tRNA". Rfam says of the family: Transfer RNA (tRNA) molecules are approximately 80 nucleotides in length. RNAcentral also lists the same sequence under 1 other name. Lineage: Bacteria; Pseudomonadati; Candidatus Zixiibacteriota. The record is from Rfam by way of RNAcentral.
GCUGGAGUAGCUCAGAGGCAGAGCAGGGGUUUUGUAAACCUCAGGUCGGGGGUUCAAUUCCCUCCUCCAGCU